RNAcentral lists this ribosomal RNA (461 nucleotides) under uncultured bacterium. RNAcentral describes it as "partial 16S ribosomal RNA". It matches the Rfam family "Bacterial small subunit ribosomal RNA", at positions 28 to 506 of the family's 1533-position model. The record is from RNAcentral.
GACGAACGCUGGCGGCGUGCUUAACACAUGCAAGUCGAGCGGAAAGGCCCUUCGGGGUCCUCGAGCGGCGAACGGGUGAGUAACACGUGAGUAACCUGCCCCAGACUUUGGGAUAACCCUCGGAAACGGGGGCUAAUACCGGAUACGACACAGCUUCGCAUGGGGUCUGUGUGGAAAGUUUUUCGGUUUGGGAUGGGCUCGCGGCCUAUCAGCUUGUUGGUGGGGUGAUGGCCUACCAAGGCGACGACGGGUAGCCGGCCUGAGAGGGCGACCGGCCACACUGGGACUGAGACACGGCCCAGACUCCUACGGGAGGCAGCAGUGGGGAAUAUUGCACAAUGGGCGGAAGCCUGAUGCAGCGACGCCGCGUGAGGGAUGACGGCCUUCGGGUGGUAAACCUCUUUCAGCAGGGACGAAGCGUAAGUGACGGUACCUGCAGAAGAAGCGCCGGCCAACUACGU